AGCGUAGGCGGUUUUGCAAGUCAGAAGUGAAAGGCUACGGCUCAACCGUGGUAAGCUUUUGAAACUGCAAGACUAGAGUGCAGGAGAGGCAAGUGGAAUUCCUAGUGUAGAGGUGAAAUUCGUAGAUAUUAGGAGGAACACCAGUGGCGAAGGCGACUUGCUGGACUGUAACUGACGCUGAGGCUCGAAAGCGGUGGGGAGCGAACA
RNAcentral lists this ribosomal RNA (207 nucleotides) under uncultured bacterium. Its description in RNAcentral is "partial 16S ribosomal RNA". It matches the Rfam family "Bacterial small subunit ribosomal RNA", at positions 568 to 774 of the family's 1533-position model. The record is from RNAcentral.